AGGUUCCUCGCGAGAGGAUGAAAAGGGAACGAGGUUGAAGACCUCGGCUGCCCCCGCAACUGUAAGCGGCGAGUUCUAGCGCCAUUGGCCACUGGGUCUCCAUGACCUGGGAAGGCGGCGCCAAGAGCAGUGACCCGCGAGCCAGGAGACCUGCCCGGCGC
RNAcentral lists this non-coding RNA (161 nucleotides) under uncultured Caulobacter sp. The record is from RNAcentral. Lineage: Bacteria; Pseudomonadati; Pseudomonadota; Alphaproteobacteria; Caulobacterales; Caulobacteraceae.